GGUGGUGGCCCAGUGGGUAGAGCACCUGCUUUGCAUGCAUGAGGUCUGUGGUUCAGUUUCCAGCACCACUG
RNAcentral lists this transfer RNA (71 nucleotides) under Erinaceus europaeus (western European hedgehog). It matches the Rfam family "tRNA". Rfam says of the family: Transfer RNA (tRNA) molecules are approximately 80 nucleotides in length. The record is from Rfam by way of RNAcentral. Lineage: Eukaryota; Metazoa; Chordata; Mammalia; Eulipotyphla; Erinaceidae.